UAUGUCGGUGGCAAACCUAAAAUAUCUUCAGGCGUCGGCCGCACCCCGUCCCCCGCGUGUCAACCCCCUCUCUAUCUCUCUCGUGCCGAAACCUAACUUCCUCUGCCGAUCAAAGCGUCGUCUUCAUCCUCGUGCCCUCGUCUUGUUUUGUGGUCUCUGUUUGUUUUGUUCUUGCUUUGUGCCGUAGUCUCUGUUUUGUGGCUCUGUCUUCGUCGUCGUCUCACACUCUCUUUCUCACGCCGAAACCCUAGCUUCUACUGCCGAUCAAAGCGUCGUUUUCGUCUACGGCUCAAGUGAAAAUGUUCAAGAACACGUUCCAGUCUGGAUUUUUGUCCAUUCUAUACAGCCUUGGGAGCAAACCUUUACAGAUAUGGGACAAAGAAGUUGUCAAUGGCCAUGUAAAGCGACUGCAGGAUGAAGACAUACAAUCCAAUGUCCUCGAAAUAGUUGGGUCAAAUAUACAAUCCACAUACAUCACAUGCCCAGCUGACCCAUCUGCAACACUUGGUAUAAAACUACCAUUUUUGGUAGUGAUUGUGAAGAAUCUAAAGAAAUAUUUUACAUUUGAGAUUCAAGUUUUGGAUGAUAAGAAUGUCAGGCGGCGUUUCCGAGCUUCAAAUUUUCAAGCUGUCACUCGAGUGAAACCAUAUAUCUGCACCAUGCCACUGAGGAUGGACGAGGGCUGGAAUCAAAUUCAGUUGAAUCUAGCUGAUUUUACCAGGAGAGCCUAUGGGACCAACUAUGUCGAGACUUUGCGUGUUCAGGUUCAUGCAAACUGCCGCCUGAGGAGGAUAUAUUUCUCUGACCGCCUAUACUCGGAGGAAGAGCUCCCGCCAGAGUUUAAGUUGUAUCUGCCCAUGCAGAAAGCAUGACAUAUUUCACGACAGGAGAGGCUCCACAAGCAGUUAUAUCCGAGAGAGUUGGAUUUUGAGAUCUAUGUUGUGAACCAUUUUUACUGCCAAUUAAUCUCGUCUUAUCUAUCUUUAUAAGAUGAUCCACAGAUACAGUGGCACUCCACCACGUGUACAGUUGAAGAAUUUGGUGUCUAGUGGCAAUGGCUUCACUAAUCCAGGCUUCAACCUUUAGUAUUGAAAUGUAGAGAAAGAACGCCACCAGUAUGUGCCAGGUGACCAUUACCCACAAGAGAGAUGUCCAUAUCUUACUUAAAUGGAUGGAUUGAGCAUUUAUUUUAGAUGCUUCAUUCACAUCAGAAACCUUUUUCAAAUUUAGUAGGAAAUCUGACAAACGAAGAAGACUGUCCAAGGACUCAACUCUGAGUUGACUACAGGUGUGGGCUUACAGGGCUAGGGCUCAUAAACCCUCUCAUUCAUUCAACAAUCGGGCUGGUCGGCUACUCUGCAGUUUCCAGAAAAAUGGAAAUUCAAGAUUUGUAUUUGUGUUUGAAAGAUUAACUUAGUAGUACGUGCAUUCGAGAUUGGAUGAUAUUAAGUGUGCUAUUAUAGAAUCUCGGUUGAUGAGAAUGCUCAUCAAACGACUCUUUAUGUCAUUGAUAUAUGACAAGACGAUUACAACCA
Carya illinoinensis is the source of this 1535-nucleotide RNA transcript. It is a transcript of the gene named cilia- and flagella-associated protein 20, with no coding region annotated. NCBI's taxonomy places the organism in Eukaryota, Viridiplantae, Streptophyta, Magnoliopsida, Fagales, Juglandaceae. The record is from RefSeq and is a predicted model, not a curated record. The transcript is spliced from 7 exons.